Molecule: long non-coding RNA, 1101 nt
Filed under: Coffea arabica (coffee)
Lineage: Eukaryota; Viridiplantae; Streptophyta; Magnoliopsida; Gentianales; Rubiaceae
Description: long non-coding RNA (CARA_LNC004944)
Source: RNAcentral
UUAUGCUGUGAUUUUUGUGAGCCUGAGGGGUGUUAUGGACCUUAUGGUCUUUUGGAGUCGAGUGGGAGUGGUUUUGCUGGAAAUUCACCGUCCCCACGUGUUGUUCUCGGACGGCAACAAGUUUAGCGGUGAGUUGAGCUGGAUGCAUCAAGCGCUGCUUCAAAGUAUUGCAAUCUUCAUUACUUUUUCUUAUUGUUUUCUUAGCCGGGAAUCGCUUGUGAACAGUGCCUAUGGUCCGGUUAUGCUGUGAUUUUUGUGAGCCUGAGGGGUGUUAUGGACCUUAUGGUCUUUUGGAGUCGAGUGGGAGUGGUUUUGCUGGAAAUUCACCGUCCCCACGUGUUGUUCUCGGACGGCAACAAGUUUAGCUGCUUCAAAGUAUUGCAAUCUUCAUUACUUUUUCUUAUUGUUUUCUUAGCCGGGAAUCGCUUGUGAACAGUGCCUAUGGUCCGGUUAUGCUGUGAUUUUUGUGAGCCUGAGGGGUGUUAUGGACCUUAUGGUCUUUUGGAGUCGAGUGGGAGUGGUUUUGCUGGAAAUUCACCGUCCCCACGUGUUGUUCUCGGACGGCAACAAGUUUAGCGGUGAGUUGAGCUGGAUGCAUCAAGCGCUGCUUCAAAGUAUUGCAAUCUUCAUUACUUUUUCUUAUUGUUUUCUUAGCCUUGUCUCCGUUACUUUCUCUUAUUCUUUUCUUGACUUUCUCUACCCAGCGUUUUUUCCGUUCCUCAUUCUCCAAUCUUUUUUCUCUAUUCUUUUCUUAGCUUCUCUGCCCAGUGUUUUGCCCUUUCCUCGUUUUCCUAUUGAGUUCUCUACUAGACUGCAAAUAAUUGAGCAAGUGAAUUGCGCAUCAGAGCACGGGUGCUUUGCAGAUGUUUAAUGUUAGUUAUGCUCUAUUUUAUUGGUUUGCAUAGCCAUUCAUGCAGAGCAACAAAUCAAAGUAAGGCUCAUGUAUCCGCGCUCUUGAUGUCUGACCCAGAAGUUUGGCCAUGAAUAUAUAUGUUUGCAUGUAUGGAUGAAUGACGACAAUUAUUCCUGAUAGUUAGUCUUGCUGUAAUUGCUCCUUCUGUUGCUGCCAUUUCUUUGCUUUAAUGCAGCUGCUGCUUGGGU